Non-coding RNA from Pelodiscus sinensis (Chinese soft-shelled turtle), 680 nucleotides. The record is from RefSeq and is a predicted model, not a curated record. NCBI's taxonomy places the organism in Eukaryota, Metazoa, Chordata, Testudines, Trionychidae.
CUCAUGUGUUUGCCGGACUGGGCCUAACAACCACUUCAACUUAUUUCUUUCAUAUAAAGCAAAAAUAAAACACCCAGGAGGGCGACUCCCUUUCUGUUGUCAGGGUCCCAACAAUCACUUACUGCUCCUCUGCUUUAUCAAGGUUGGAUCACCCUUUCCCUCAACCAUAUGGAAAACAACGGGAAUUCACCAGGAGUAAGAGGAUAACACAGAGGGAACGGACACCUUGCUGGCAAAACCAUUCUGACCCAUGCAACAACAUCUGCAUUUGAUCACUGUUGGUUGUCCAGAAGUUCUCCGCCUGCCUGAAAUCACAAGACUCAUUGAGUUGAACACAAUCAUCAAAGACAUGAAAAAGCCACCUAACUGACCAAGAGGCUGUAACAUCAGAAAGCACUUAAAACGACAGAAAAAAUAGAGGAGAAAGAUGAUCUUAUGCUCAAGGCAUUGGGCCGAGUCUCUGGAAAUCUGGGUUCAAUCCCUGGCAAUGUAACAGAUUCAGCAUAUGAACUUGGGCAAGUAACUUAAAGUCCUACACACACUUCCAUUUUAGCAAGCUUGCACUCUAACAGAAAACCUUAACAGUGACCUUAGCAAUGUGCAGCAGAAUAGCUUUCCAAAUGCAUGGAAUGUGCGAGACAUGCUGAUCUGUUGACAUAAUAUAAAAGCAUAGGAGGUGA